GGAGCCGGCCAGGCGACCGCGGCGGGCCUCGGCCCGUCGAGGAAAGUCCGGACUCCGCAGGGCAGGGCGCUGGGUAACGCCCAGGCGCGGCGACGCGCGGACAGUGCCACAGAGAGCAGACCGCCAGGGGCCCGCGGUGCGGGCACCGGUGAGGGUGAAAGGGUGCGGUAAGAGCGCACCGGCGCCGGCGGCGACGCCGGCGGACAGGCAAACCCCGCCCGGAGCAAGGCCAAGCAGGUGCGUCGAGGUGGCCCGCCGAGCACCGGGUAGGCCGCUCGAGGCCGGCGGUGACGCCGGUCCCAGAUAGAUGGUCGCCCCCGCCCCGACCGGGGUGGCGGACAGAAUCCGGCUUAUCGGCCGGCUCCUCGC
Molecule: RNase P RNA, 369 nt
Filed under: Actinomycetota bacterium
Lineage: Bacteria; Bacillati; Actinomycetota
Description: RNase P RNA component class A
Rfam family: Bacterial RNase P class A
About the family: Ribonuclease P (RNase P) is a ubiquitous endoribonuclease, found in archaea, bacteria and eukarya as well as chloroplasts and mitochondria. Its best characterised activity is the generation of mature 5'-ends of tRNAs by cleaving the 5'-leader elements of precursor-tRNAs.
Source: RNAcentral